RNAcentral lists this long non-coding RNA (33455 nucleotides) under Triticum aestivum (bread wheat). RNAcentral describes it as "long non-coding RNA (TAES_LNC007034)". The record is from RNAcentral. Lineage: Eukaryota; Viridiplantae; Streptophyta; Magnoliopsida; Poales; Poaceae.
UUUUAUUUUGUCAGGUCCAUACAGUCGGAUCUGAUGGUACCUGGAAUAUGCAUCCAAAAAGGACAAGUGCUCACACCCCGCAGUUGAGUCGACUAUCUGGUAAAUGCGGGGUAGAGGGAAAUGAUCUUUUGGGCAGGCCUGAUUAAUAUGUUUGAAAUUGAUACAGAUUCGAAGUGACUUAUCUUUCUUGGGGACCAUGACAACAUUGGCAAGCCACUCAGAGUGGUAAAUCUCACGGAUGAACUCAGCUGCCAGAAGCCAAGCCACCUCCUCGUUGAGGGAGUCCUGGAUUAGGGGGUCCUCGGACAGCCGGACUAUAUACUUAUGUCAGACUGUUGGACUAUGAAGAUACAAGACUGAAGACUUCGUCCCGUGUCCGGGUGGGACUCUCCUUUGCGUAGAAGGCAAGCUUGGUAAUUCGGAUAUGUAGAUCUCUUUCUCUGUAACCGACUCUGUGUAACCCUAGCCCCCUCCGGUGUCUAUAUAAAGCGAAGGGUUUAGUCCGUAGGACAACAACAAUCAUAAUCGUAGGCUAGCUUCUAGGGUUAGCUUCUACGAUCUCGUGGUAGAUCAACUCUUGUAAUACUCAUAUCAUCAAGAUCAAUCAAGUAGGAACUAGGGUAUUACCUCCAUAGAGAGGGCCCGAACCUGGGUAAACAUUGUGUCCCCCACCUCCUGUUACCAUUAGCCUUAGGCGCACAGUUCGGGACCCCCUACCCGAGAUCCGCCGGUUUUGAUACCGACAUUGGUGCUUUCAUUGAGAGUUCCACUGUGUCGUCACCAUAAGGCUUGAUGGCUCCCUCAAUCAUCCACAACGAUGCGGUCCACGGUGAGGUUUUCCUCCCCGGACAGAUCUUUGUAUUCGGCGGCUUCGCACUAUGGGCCAAUUCGCUUGGCUAGCUGGAGCAGAUCGAUAGCUACGCCCCUGGCCAUCAGGUCAGGUUUGGAAGCCUGAACUACACUGCCGACAUCUGCAGAGAUUUGAUCUUCGGCAUAUUCGAGCCCUUGACAAGUGUGCCCUAUGGUCACGACGAGCAUGACUUAGAUCUGCCAGCGGACGGUGUUCGAGAGAUCGCACCUGCGGCUGCCCCGGCUUUAAAUCCAGAGCGGAUUGUGCCAUCCGAGGACGGGUGGAUGGACCCCGCCACGGAGGCCGCACACUCAGCGAUGGUGGAGCCGAACACAGAUCUCACUUCUAAGGAGGCCUGUGUCAUCGGACCCUCGGACUCGUUUCCGGCCAUAGGAUCCGAACCGUGUGCAUCCGUGCCCAUCGGAUCUAACUGGGCACCGAUCAUGGAGUUUAGCUCCGCGGAUAUCUUUUAGCACUCGCCUUUGGGUGAUGUGCUAGAUUCAUUAAAAUAUCUCUCCCUGUCAGGAGACUCUUGGCCGAACUGUGUCCAGCUUGAGUGGGAAGCGGACGACGAAGGAAUUCGUUGCCCACCCACCACCCACUUAAUAGCCACUGUCGAUGGCCUAACCGACACGCUUGAUUUUGACUCCGAAGACAUCAACGGUAUGGACGCUGAUGCCGGAGAAAAAUGGGAACCACCGCCCCCAGGGCGCUGGACGGCCACAUCAUCAUAUGAUAUAUACAUGGUGGACACACCCAAAGAAAGCAAUGGCGAUGAUGCAACGGAGGAUAAUCCCCUUGAGAAGCAAACAAAACACAACGUCAGCGGUGCCGCUCUAAAGCCCGCCAUAGCAAAAACAGUGAUACCGGCACCAGAAAGAAUAAUACCCUGGACGAUGCUAAAGAUAACGACGACCCCGUGGACCCAGCGAUGGAGCAGGAUGAGCCAGGGGACAGCGAACAUAGUCCGAGGCCGCUGCUCGAUCACAGUGAUGCCGAAGACAAAACUUAUAAACCUGUCUCUAGAGAGGACAACAGUCCGGACGACGAUGCACACAUCAUCCCGGAAAAGCAUUUGGAACAAGAGCACCUCCACAGAAGGCUUAUUGCCAUCGCGAGGAGCUUGAAGAAGCAGAAGCAACGACUUAAAGCCAUGCAAGAUACGCUCAACCACAGAUGGAACAAAGUGCUCGACACUGACUAAAUAUACGGCGGUGAUCUCCACACAAAGAGCUACCCAAAACGCAAGCUGCUGCCCGAAUUCGACAAAGAGGCUAUCACGCCCAUUUCGCCGAAGAACAAUACGGCCGAUCUGCCGGACCGACCACCCUUGGCCGAGACAGAGCGGCUAAUGACGCCGCACAUAAGUCAGCACACGAUCUACGCGAGCACUUGGACAAAAGAGCCGGUAUGGCCAGGUCCAUCUAUGGAUCUAGGAAGCGUGCCCCUACGCAGGAUCACGGCCACCAAACCAACUACACUGAUCGACUACCAUCUCAGAAUCAACACCGAACACUACAACCGUCAGACGCAUGCCACGACACAUCCAAAUACAGGGGUGCUGCACACCCCGUGUGCUUCACCGAUGAGGUGCUGGAUCAUGAAUUUCUAGAGGGGUUUAAACCCGUAAACAUCGAGGAAUAUGACGGAACGACAGACCCUGCAGUCUGGAUUGAGGAAUUUAUUCUUCACAUCCAUAUGGCUCGCAGAGACAAUCUCCACGCCAUCAAAUACCUGCCCCUCAAGUUGAAAGGACCAGCUCGGCAUUGGUUGAAAAGCCUCCCCAAAAAUUCAAUUGGAAGUUGGGAGGAACUCAAGGACGCUUUCAGGGCUAACUUUCAAGGGACCUAUGUCCGACCUCCGGAUGCAGACGAUUUAAGUCACAUAAUCCAACAACCCGAAGAAUUAGCCCGUAAGCUUUGGAACAGAUUUCUCACCAACAAGAACCAAAUCGUCGACUGUCCGGAUGCUGAAGCCCUAGCAGCUUUCAAACACAGCGUCCGGGACGAAUGGCUUUCCAGACACCUCGGCCAGGAAAAGCCGAGGACAAUGGCAGCCUUAACAACUCUUAUGACCCACUUUUGCCCAGGAGAGGCCAGUUGGUUGGCCCGGAGCAGCACCAGCGACCCAGGCACAUCCAAAAUCAGGGAUGGCUAUGGGAAGCCGCGACGCAAUAAAAACAAGCGUCAAAACAAUGAAGACAGCCCAGACAACAUAGCGAUAAAUGCCGGAUUCAGGGGCUCUCGACCCGGUCAAUGGAAAAGGCCAUUUAAAGGCAGUAGACAUGGACCGUCCAGCCUAAACAAAAUUCUAGAUAGAUCCUAUCAGAUUCAUGGCACCCCCGAGAAACCUGCGAAUCACACCAACAGAGAAUGCCAGGUCUUCAAGAAGACCGGCAAGCUAAACGUUGAACACAAGGGGAGGGAGCCGUCAAGUGAAGACGAGGACGAACCUCGCUAGACGAACACUGGGGGACAGAAAAAAUUUCCACCAGAGGUCAAAACAGUGAGCAUGAUUUACGCAACCCACAUACCAAAGAGGAAGCACAAACGUGCACUCCGGGACGUAUACGCUGUAAAGCCCGUCGCCCCCAAAUUCAACCCAUGGUUGGCCUGCCCGAUCACUUUCAAUCGCAGGGAUCAUUCGACUAGUAUCCGGCAUGGAGGGACGGCUGCCUUAGUGCUCGACCCAAUAAUUGACGGAUACCAUCUCACCCGAGUCCUCAUGGACGGCGGCAGUAGUAUUAAUCUGAUAUAUCAGGACAAUGUCCGCAAGAUGGGGAUAGACCCGUCAAGAAUCGGCCAAAGCAGCACUACCUUUAAAGGAGUAAUACCAGGCGUAGAGGCCCGCUGCAUGGCUCUCUAACAUUAGAGGUCGUAUUCGCUUCUCCCGACAACUUCCGAAGCGAAGAACUAAUCUUCGACAUUGCUCCGUUCCGAAGCGGUUAUCAUGCACUACUCAGAAGAACGGCCUUCGCUCGUUUCAAUGCAAUACUGCACUACUCUUAUCUCAAACUUAAGAUGCCCGGUCCAAGCGGCAUCAUCACUAUCAGUGGAAACACAGAGCGUUCUCUUCGCGCGGAAGACUACGUGGCGGCUCUAGCAGCCGAACCACUGAACGACCUCUCCACCCCGAAUAACCGAUCGGUCUUCGAGACCACAGACACGGCUAGACGUGUCCGGCGCACCACUAGUUGUAAACAGUCCAGAUAAACCUGAGCUUGAUUAAUGGCUAGGCCCCCACAAGUGGUGCUAGGGGCCGCCCGCAUGCAAAGGGUCCAUAGUUCGGCUGGACCCUAUUAAUACUCAAUAUAUCAAACUCUCAGGGUUCAUUAAGAAUAAUCAACUUUUUGCACGGUCACACCAGAUUCUUUCACCUGGGUUUUUUUCUUUUUACAGAUGACCAUCAUGCUACACCCUUCCAAGAUACGGCACAACGAAGACAAAGGCGCAGACGUGCAGCAGAGCCCCGUUCAAAGCCGCUCUUUUGUCACACCGGAUUAAUGCAGUACCCAGAAAUUCAGGGAUCAUUAUCAAGGGCGGUACUCGGCCCAGUAUAUGUUGAAAAGUCCGAAUACCUUCGAGAGUGUUCGGUGUCGCGAGUUUGGCCUUAUAUGCAUCAGCUCCGAAUCAUGUCUUUGGCCAAUAGUUGGGUUUGCCCGGCUCCCGUGUUUUGCUACCUUACGUUUCGCUCUAUCGGCUAAGGUAGCACCGAGAGAACUACUACAAUUGUGCCCUAGUUCAUUUGGAUGAGCACCUCAGUAGACAAAGCCGAAAACUGACUGUCAUGAUAAAGCGAGAGACUGGUCAACCACUCGAUGACUCAGCGGAAUCUUCACAAUUCCUCCGCAUUAAUGAAGGACCGGUUUCCCAGUCACAUAUGGACACGCACCAUAUUCGGAUGAAUGCGGACAUACCAGGGGCUAUAUAGUAGCCCCACCAUCAAACUCCUAUGGCUAAGUGAAAGUGUUAAAGCUAUAUAGUCUGAUUGCAUCAUUUGGCGCGCCACCACCUCCUUAACGGACCAAGACAUUGGAUCAAGUGUGAUUACGCACUUUGCCAAAUACCCCCGCAUUAUAUGCGAGGGGGCUGAAGCCGACGACUGCAAACUUUCAGGUUAUAUACAUAUAUACAUAAGCGGCCGCACAGGAGGCACUGCAAUACUUUACAGGCAAAAUUAUAAAUAUAGCCUUUAUUAUCAAAAGCAUUGUUUUUACAAUCAAGAUACAUGUCACUGAAACAUGGUAUUCUUUGAGCACUGAGCCUCUAUUAAACGGUCACCUUCUAAGACUUCUUCAAAAUGGUAUUCGGGCGAGUCCUGGCCCCUGGGCGGACCCCCGGUUGCAAUAUCGGUGGCCUCCAUCUUUGCCCAAUACGUCUUAAGACAGGCAAGGGCCAUCCGCGCACCCUCUAUGCACGCCGACCUCUUGACAGCAUCAAUAUGCGGCACAACAUGAAUAAAUUGUUGCACCAAACCAAAAUAACUAUCCGGACUUGGUUCCUUUGGCCACAGGUGGUCCAUGGCGGCCUUCAUGGAAAUCUCGGAUAACCUAUGGAGCUCGGCCCAUUCGGCCAUUUGCUCAUUUAACAGUAGCGGACGCCUUGGAUUACUGAACUGCGACCAGAAUAAUUUUCCUACCCCGUGAUCUUCUCGAUCUUUGAAAUACUCUGUCGCAUCAGCAUCACUCUUUGCUAAAUCCAAGUAUGUGUCUGAGGAACUCCACAAUUGAUCAAGAUGGGCAUACUUUGGAUCGCCGAACUUUGUUCGCAAUAAAAAGGGCUUCCCAGCCGCGAUAUCACCGGCUUGCCGAAGCUCCUCCCGUGCCGCUCUGAUUUCAGAGUGAUUUUCCUUUGCUGCUUGCAAGGCCUUCUUUAGGUCAGCCGUCUUCGUUUGGUUUUCCCUUUCGAGAAGCUCGUAUCGGCUCGCGGCAUUUUGCAGCUCAAGAGCCAUAUUGGCUAUUUUAUCCUUACUUUGGUGAUGAGCAGCCUGUUCGGCUUUUAAUUCUUCGGCUGCCUUCAGGGCAGCCGCAUCACUUCUCCUGGCUUGCUCCUUGGCCCGGGCAAGUUCCGCCCGAAGGGUCUCCACGGCGGCAGCUCCAUCUGCAUUCAAAGCAUAUUAUAAAUCCUAGCAUCAUGCUCUUAUUAAUAUUUUCUGACCACUUAAAUAUACAUACCCUGUGCCUCGUCAAGCCGCUUGUUCACAAGCGUGAUGUCCGCAUCUGCCAUGUCAAGUUGCCGCCUCAGUUCGGCAAAUUCAGCAGUCCGGUUAGCCGACGGAUCUGCAACCGCCUGCAUACAAAAUCAGCGCUAUCAUUACCUGAGACUAUGAUCCUCUGCUCGCCUCGUCCAGAUGGCAACCAGAGUCUCAGGGGCUACUAUCUAUACAAUGUACACCUUGUGUGUAUGGUACAAUCAAAAAAAAUAUCACUUUGUGUACCUCAAAGCCUCUUAGUAGGCUCGUAAAAGCUUCAUUCAACCCGCUUUUUGCCGAUGAUAUCUUCUUAACCACCGUACCCAUUAAGGUACGAUGUGCCUCUGAGAUAGCCGCCUGCUGUAGAAGACCCGUCAAUGCAUCCGGUUGUAUAUCGGACAGUUCGGGGCUUUUCCUAUUGGUCUCUCUAGGAGCCGAAAACCCCGGACUUCGGGCGGCCGAAGAGUUACCUUCUGGUCUUUGCGGAUCAGGAGAGAUCCUCCAGGACGACACCUCAGGAUCAUCCGCCUCAUCGGAAGGAGAGGUGUGAGGAGGUGUUUCGCUCUCCAUCAUCUCCGGAAGAAAAUCCCCCGAUGACGAACAUUGUGAAGGGAGGCUAUGAGCCGAACUGCAAAACAUAUGUCUCGGUUGUUAUUCUCAGGAAAAGAAUGGGGUAUGCUUACUGGACACCUUUGUUCACUUACGGCUCGGUUAACGGCUGGCCCCCCUGUGGGCGUUGUGCAGCAAUGUUGCCCUCUGGGGCAGGGCCCCCUGAUGCAGGUUUCUUCCCUCGUUUGGAGACCUAUGCUUCCAGGUCUUCAGGACCGGUCCUUUUCUUCCCGUGGGGAGAGGGGAUGCUAGAUUUCCUUCCCGUCAUCCUCCGACACGGGGGUGCUAAUUUCCCCGGUUAAGAUGCGUAACGUACCUCCAGUAUGAAGUUCGCUCUUGUCCUCCCCUGAUGUCACUUGAUAAGGUGCGCAAGCCAGCAUCCUGGUUAGUACAGGAUUCGGCGAGUCUUCGGGAAGAGGGGUCGAACACCUGAUCCUCCCCGCCUUUCUUAUCCAGUCCUAGCCGAGGGUGGUUUUUCAUAACGAUGUUGCAACAAAUAUAAUGACAACGUGUUUGGUCGCGAAGUUACUAACCUGGGUGUCUGGAUGGUUGCAGUUGAGGCCCGCAUCCUCUAUUGUGUCCGGACACUUUAUUCGUGAUCCGAAGAAUAAUCGAUACAUCCCUACAAGUGUUACACCGAAGAAGUGUUGAAUGGUUCGCGGUCCUUCCGGGUUAAACUCCCACAUGCGGAGAGAUCGACGUUGGCAUGGCAGGACCCGACAGACUAGCAUUACUUGAAUUACUUUGACGAGAUUAAUAUCCCUCUUGAGGAGAUCCCGAAUGCGGCUUUGCAACAUCGGCACGUCAUUAACCGAUCCCCAGUCCAACCCCUUGUUAACCCAUGAUGCAAGCUGUGGCGGAGGGGCAGAGCGGAAGGCCGGGGCGGUCGCCCACUUACUCCCUCGAGGCACGGUGAUGUAAAACCACUUACGUUGCCAUAAGUUAGAAACUUCCGGGGAAGAGCCCUUUGGCCAUGAAGCAUCGACACCUUUGCUUAUUAUAGCGCUUCCACACUGCGUGUGUCACUCGUCAAUCAUCUUCGGCUUCACAUUGAAGGUCUUGAGCCAUAGGCCAAAGUAUGGGGUAAUGUGGAGAAAGGCCUCGCACACAACAAUGAACGUCGAGAUGUGAAGGAAGGAAUCUGGAGCUAGAUCGUGAAAAUCUAGCCCGUAAUAGAACAUGAGCCCUCUAACGAAGGGAUUAAGACCAAAGCCUAGCCCUCGGAGGAAGUGGUAGAUGAAUACGAAGCUCUCGUUGGGUUUGGGGGUAGGAAUAACCUGCCCUUGAGCAGGAAGCCUGUGAAGGAUUUCAGCGGUUAGAUACCUAGCCUCCCUAAGCUUCUUGAUGUCCUCCUCUGUAACAGAAGAGGCCAUCCACCAGCCUUGAAGGUUGGAUCCGGACAUGGUUGAAGGUUCGGAGCGCUUGGACUAAACCUAGAGUGUUGGAACUCGAGGGGAGGGAAGGGGAGGAUCAGGCGUGGAAAUAAAAGGACAGGUCUUGACCUCUUUAUAUAGAGUAAGAAUAUCAAGCGUCCUCCGCGUGGCCGUUUGGAACUUGCCUAAACGAAGGAGUUGUACCAAUGGGACGGUUGGGUUACCCACGCCCGUAUUGAUGAGAAUCCCGUAAUAAGAGGGACACGAUCUCUGCUUCGACAAGACAUGCCAAUAAAACUGCCUCGCAAGAUGUGCAGUAGCAGGUUGAGAAAACGGUUCGAAUAAUGACCGGGCCGUGGUGUGAUGUCACGCUAUGAAAAGUUGUCAGCUGAUUAGAUUUGUGGAAUAUUGUGCUCUCUAUGGUGGUAUGUGGAAUUUGUUUUGCAGAGUCGGACGCGAUUCUUGUGUUCAAAAUCUUCUUCGGAGUAUUUGGAGAAGGAACCCGCCUUGCAAUGCCGAAGACAAUCUGCGCGCCGGACUCGCCGUACUCAUCAUAGUAGCCUGGUUCGGGGGCUACUGAGGGAGUCCUGGAUUAGGGGGUCCUCUGACAGCCGGACUAUAUACUUAUGUCGGACUGUUGGACUAUGAAGAUACAAGACUAAAGACUUCGUCCCGUGUCCGGGUGGGACUCUCCUUUGCGUGGAAGGCAAGCUUGGCAAUUCGGAUAUGUAGAUCUCCUUCUCUGUGACCGACUUUGUGUAACCCUAGCCCCCUCUGGUGUCUAUAUAAACUAGAGGGUCUAGUUCGUAGGACAACAACAAUCAUAAUCGUAGGCUAGCUUCUAGGGUUAGCCUCUGCGAUCUCGUGGUAGAUCAACUCUUGUAAUACUCAUAUCAUCAAGAUAAAUCAAGUAGGAAGUAGGGUAUUACCUCCAUAGAGAGGGCCCGAACCUGGGUAAACAUUGUGUCCCCCGCCUCCUGUUACCAUUAGCCUUAGAUGCACAGUUCGGGACCCCCUACCGGAGAUCCGUCGGUUUUGACACCAACACUCGCCAAUUGCCUUCCUCUUCUCCGCGGCGGGCCGACGGAGAUGUUCUUUAACGGGUUUUGCUUCUGGGUCGACUCACAAAUGGUGCUCAGCCAGUCCCCUGGGUACACUCGACAUGUCUGAUGGUUUCCAUGCGAAGAUGUCCCAGUUCUCACGGAGGAACUGGAUGAGUGCUUCUUCCUAUUUGCUGUCGAGUGUUGUUGAGAUAUGAGUCGGAGAAGCAUUGAGAUCGGUCGGGUGAAUGUGAACUGGUUUUGUUUCACCAAACGACUGAAAUGCAGACUCUGAAGCAGGCUUCUUGGCACACAACAAAUCACUCAGAUAUGCAUUCUUCUAGUAUUCUUGCAUCUCUACUGCUGCCAUCUGUUCAUCGGCGGUCUUUGAGACCUUAUGGAGGCACUCUUCUGCUCUCUGCCGAUUUCCAGUGACUGUGAUCACGCCUCUGGGGCCAGGCAUCUUCAACUUGAGGUACACGUAACAUGGUCGAGCCAUGAAACGAGCAUAUGCAGGCCUGCCUAGAAUAGCAUGGUAGGCACUGUCAAAAUCCACCACCUCAAACGUCAACUUCUCCUUGCGGUAAUUCUUAGAAUUGCUGAAAACCACAUCAAGAGUGAUCUGACUGAGUGAAUCAGCUUUCUUUCCUGGGAUGACUCUGUGGAAUCACAUGUUGCUCUCACUGAGCUUGGACAUCGGAAUGUCCAUCCCUCGGAGGGCCUCAGCGUACAGAAUAUUCAAACCACUGCCACCGUCCAUCAAAACCUUGGUCAGUCAAGUGCCCCCAAUGACUAGUUCGACCACCAAUGCUUGCCGCCCAGGGAUAGCAACAUGUGCUGGGUGGUCGGACUGGUCGAAUGUAAUGGGAUUUUUUGACCACUUCAAAUAUGUCGUUGUUGCCGGAGCAACCAUUUUCACUUCUCUAUUGAUAACUUUCAGACGACUUUUGCUCUCGAGGUCAGCAAAAAUCACUAAAGUGGCAUUGACGUUGGGGUAACUGUCAUCUUCCUCUUUGUCAUCCUCCUUAUCGGACUCUUUUUCCUUUUCACUGCGCUGACCCUCUCGGAAACUCUGAAUCAUGAGUCGACACUGUCGAGUGGUAUGCUUGGGAACAAUCAAGUUUCCCUCUUCAUAUUUUUGUUGUUGUGUAUAUGACACGGUAAAUCAAGCACAUCAUUUCCCGCUUGAUAUUUCACUUUUUGGGGGGUCCAAGGCCCUUUAGGCUUCCCCUUGAACUUCCCUUGAUUCAAAACUGCUGCCUUAGCAGGACCUGCGGGGUCAGUGACGAGGGUACAGACCUGGGGUAGGGUCAUAUGCCUGACCUAUACGUCCUACCCAAGGUCACUACCCCAGAAGAUAAGAAGACCAAGAAUCCACUCGACAGUAUAAUCACUCGACCGUCAGUCCCCACUUUCACACGACAGUGUAUGGGGAAUGACUCGACCGUAUUGAAGACCAGGAGUCGGAAGAGCGCGCAACGGCCAGGCAUUCAUUCCUUAGUCUUCAUGAGCAUUAAGAGUACUAAAUACUGGCGUUACCAGUAAUGCCCUACUUUAUGUACAUUAGUUCCCUUGUAAUGGAGGGGGGCCGGGGUCCUGGCGCACUCUAUAUAAGCCACCCCCCCUCCUCUGGCACAAGGGUUUGCACCCUCUGUAAUUCAACACACAUAAUCCAAUCGACCGCCUCCGGGCACCGAGACGUAGGGCUAUUACUUCCUCCGAGAAGGGCCUGAACUCGUAAACAUCUCGUGUACAUCUUCGCCAUAGCUAAAAUCUUGCCUCUCCAUACCUACCCCCUCUUUCUACUGUCAGACUUAGAACCACGACAGUCAGCUUUGCGUUUCUGCUUCCGACUGGAAUUUCCUCCUCCGGUGUCCUGGGCAAAUGAUUUGUUCUUGCCGCUCCGGAGUCAGUCUUCUUCUUCGCCUUUAGCAUACCGAGUGGCUAUCUCCACCAUCCGAGUCAGAGACAUGUCCCCAGUCCGACCGAACUUCAAGUUGAGCUCUCUGUAGCGGACACCUUCUUUAAAGGCGUAGACUGCUUGAUGCUCUGACACAUUCUCCACUGUAUGAUGAAGGGUAGUCCAACUCUGGAUAUAGUCUCUCAAAGUCUUAUUCUAUUUCUAAACACGAUGUUGCAAUUCGGCCAAACCAGCAGAUCGCUUGCAAGUGCCCUCGAAUAUUUUGGUAAACACUCGGGCUAACUCUUCCCAACUGAAAAUGCUCCCAGGGGCCAAUUGAUUCAACCAAGCUCUGGCGGAACCCUCAAGAAUCAAUGGGAGGUGUUCCAUGGCGACUUCAUCAUUGCCACCACCAAUGUGCACUGCCACUCGGUAAUCCUCCAACCAAGUGUCGGGCUUCGACUCUCCGGUGAACUUACUUAUGCCCGUCGCCAACCUAAAGUUGUGAGGGAUCUCAGUAGCUCGAAUGGCUCUUCCGAAGCACUCGGGGCCGGAAACAUGCACUCUUCUUCCACUGGGUCGAUCUCUGUCCAGUCCUUCUCUGUAUGCUCUAUUUCUGUCGACCAAACCUUGCACGAGGAGUGAUGUUGCCUCGAACCCAGGCUCUCUUGGGUCGACUGGAACUCUGCGGUCAUUACCAUACGGGCCCCUAUCAUCAUACCGCCGGGGCGCGUAUGACCCGCCCCUCGGAGGGGGUGAAGGCACUCGACGGUGGUUGUCACAGGCAUACUCAUGAUCAAAUUCUCCGUGGGCUCUUCCCAGGUGCCAAUCUCGACGGUGAUCAUGAUCUUCAUGUCGCAAAGGUGACCCAGGAGUGUGCGCCGACUGAACUGUCUCUGUCCACACUGAUGAUACGUCUCCAACGUAUCUAUAAUUUUUGAUUGCUCCAUGCUACUUUAUCUACUGUUUUAGGCAAUAUUGGGCUUUAUUAUCCACUUUUAUAUUAUUUUUGGGACUAACCUAUUAACCGGAGGCCCAGCCCAGAUUUGCUGUUUUAUGCCUAUUUCAGUGUUUCGAGGAAAAGGAAUAUCAGACGGAGUCAAAACGGAACGAAAUCAACUGGAGAAGUUAUUUUUGGAAGGAAACCCACCUGAUGGACUUGGACCCCACGUCAGAAGAUACAGGAGGUGCUCACGAGGGCGCGCCCUCCCCCUUGGGCGCGCCCCCUGCUUCAUGGGGCCCCCGUAGCUCCACCGACGUUCUCCCUACACCCAUAUAUACCUAUGUACCCUAAAACUUCCAGAACAGAAGAUAGAUCGGGAGUUCCGCCGCCGCAAGCCUCUGUAGCCACCAAAAACCAAUCGGACCCCAUUCCGGCACCCUGCCGGAGGGGGAUCCCAUCACCGAAGGCCAUCUUCAUCAUCCCGGCGCUAUCCAUGACGAGGAGGGAGUAGUUCACCCUCGGGGCUGAGGGUGUGUACCAGUAGCUAUGUGUUUGAUCUCUCUCUCUCGUGUUCUCUCUUGUGUUCCAUCUAUGGCACGAUCUUGAUGUAUCCCAAGCUUUGCUAUUGUAGUUGGAUCUUAUGAUGUUUCUCCCCCUCUACUCUCUUGUGAUGAAUUGAGUUUCCCCUUUUGAAGUUAUCUUAUUGGAUUGAGUCUUUUAUGAACACUUGAUGUAUGUCUUGCGUGGGAUAACUGUGGUGACAAUGGGUUAUUCUAUUGAUCCACUUGAUGUAUGUUUUAGUGAUCAACUUGCGGGUUUCGUGACACUUGGGAACCUAUGCAUAGGGGUUGGCACACGUUCUUGACUCUCCGGUAGUAGCUUUGGGGCACUCUUUGAAGUACUUUUAUGUUGGUUGGAUGAAUCUGAGAUUGUGUGAUGCAUAUCAUAUAAUCAUGCCCACGGAUACUUGAGGUGACAAUGGAGUAUCUAGGUGACAUUAGGGUUUUGGUUGAUUUGUAUCUUAAGGUGUUAUUCUAGUACGAACUCUUUUAUAGAUUGAUCCAAAAGAAUAGCUUUGUGGUGGUUUCGUACCCGGCCAUAAUCUCUACGUUUGUUCUCCGCUAUUAGUGUCUUUGGAGUGACUCUUUGUUGCAUGUUGAGGGCUUGUCAUAUGUUCUAUCUAUGUUAUUAUUGUUGAGAGAACUUACACUAGUGAAAGUAUGAACCCUAGGCCUUGUUUUCUAUCAUUGCAAUACCAUUUACGCUCACUUUUACCACUUGUUACAUUGCUGUUUUUAUAUUUUCAGAUUACAAAAACCUAUAUCUACUAUCUAUUUUGCACUUGUAUCACUAUCUCUUCGCCGAACUAGUGCACCUAUACAAUUUACCAUUGUAUUGGGUGUGUUGGGGACACAAGAGACUUUUUGUUAUUUGGUUGCAGGGUUGUUUGAGAGAGACCAUCUUCAUCCUACGCCUCCUAUGGAUUGAUAAACCUUAGGUCAUCCACUUGAGGGAAAUUUGCUACUGUCCUACAAACCUGAGCACUUGCAGGCCCAACAACGUCUACAAGAAGAAGGUUGUGUAGUAGACAUCAAGCUCUUUUCUGGCGCCGUUUCCGGGGAGGCUAGGUAAGUGAAGGUAUAUCUUUAGAUCUUGCAAUUGAAUGUUUUUGUUUCUUGUUUUAGCACUAGUCUAGUUUAUAAAAGAAAAUUACAAAAAAAAUGGAGUUGAGUUUGUCUCAUACGCUUCACCUUUUUAAUAUCUUUCGUGAGUAUGAUGGAAAGGAUAAUUGUGCUCAAGUACUAGAAUAAGAAAUCUAUAGAAUGUUUUUAUAUGAUGAGCAUGAUUGCAAUGUUGUUAGUAUGAAUUCUUUGAAUAUCCAUGAUGCUAAUGAUAUGCAAAGCCACAAGCUUGGGGAAGCUAUGUUUGAUGAAUAUGAUAUAUUUUGUCCCCCAAGCUUUGAUGAACAAAUUUACUAUGAUGAAAGCAUGCCUCCUAUCUAUGAUGAUUAUUGUGAUGAUACGUAUGCUAUAAAGAAGAAGUUUGCUUAUGAAGAGAGUAUUAAAUUUUCUAUGCUAGUAGAUCAUGAAAAGAAUGCUUUAGGUGCUGGUUAUAUUGUUGAAUUCAUUCAUGAUUCUACUGAAAAUUAUUAUGAGAGAGGAACAUAUGCUUGUAGGAAUUGCAAUAAUGUCAAGUUUCCUCUCUAUGUGCUUAAAUUCUUGAAGUUAUGCUUGUUGUGCCAUCCUAUGCUAGUUGAUUAUUGUUCCCAUAAGUUGUUUGCUCACAAAAUCCCUAUGCAUAGGAAGUGGGUUAGACUUAAAUGUGCUAGUCAUGUGCUUCAUGAUGCUCCCAUUAUGUUUCAAUUCUUAUCUUUUAUGUGAGCAUCAUUGCCAUCAUCAUGCCUAGCUAAAAGGCAUUAAAGAAAAGCGCUUGUUGGGAGACAACCCAAUAUGUAUCCUUACUGUUUUUGCGUGUCCACGUGAUUAUUCUACUGUAGUAAUCAUGUUUUAUAGCUUUUGUUUCAAUAAAGUGCCAAGUAGAACCUUUGGGAAGACUUGGGUGAAGUUUAUGUGAUCUUGCUGUGAAAAACAGAAACUUUAGCGCUCACGAGAAUAGCUGCCAUUUUUUACUGGAGAGUGCUUUUAGGUUGAUUAUUUUUGCAGAUGAUUAAUAGACAAAUUUCUAAGGUCCAGAAAUUUAUUUCAUAAUUUUUGGGGUUCCAGAAGUAUACGUUUUAUACAGAUUAAUACAGACUGUUCUGUUUUUGGCAGAUUCUGUUUUCUAUGUGUUGUUUGCUUAUUUUGAUGAAUCUAUGAGUAGUAUCGGAGGGUAUGAACCAUAGAUAAGUUAGAGUACAGUAGAUAUUACAAGAAUAUGAAUUUAGAAUGAGUUCAUUACAGUACCUAAGUGGUGGUUUUAUUUUCUUAUACUAACGGAGCUUACGAGUUUUGUGUUGAGUUUUGUGUGGUUGAAGUUUUCAAGUUUUGGGUAAAGAUUCGAUGGACUAUGGAAUAAGGAGUGGCAAGAGCCUAAUCUUGGGGAUGCCCAAGGCACCCCAAGGUAAUAUUCAAUGACAACCAAGCAACUAAGCUUGGGGAUGCCCCGGAUGGCAUCCCCUCUUUCGUCUUUGUUCAUUGGUAACUUUACUUGGAGUUAUAUUUUUAUUCACCACAUGAUAUGUGUUUUGCUUGGAGCGUCAUUUUCUUUUGUUAAGUUUUUGCUUGCUGUUAGUUAGAAUAGUGUUUUGCAUCUUUAGUUUCAAAGUCAAGGAUAGCCUUUGCCAUGCUUAUUUUGCUAGUUUACGUGUUGUUGUUUGAAAAACAGAAAGUUUACCGCUGUUGCAAAAAUUCCCUAGAAAAGUCAGAGCAUGGUCUAACAUUGAAUCUUUUUGAAUAUUGAGCUCUAAUAAAUUUAUUACAGUGGGAAUUUUAGUUCAUAAUUUUUGGAGUCAGGGAAGUAUUGAUACUCUUGCAUUCUUUACAGACUGUACUGUUUUGACAGAUUGCUGUUAUGGUUGCAUUGUUUGCAUAUGUUUGCUUGUUUAAUGAUUCUAUUUGAUGAUAGGAGUAUUAAAUAUGCAGAGGAAUUUAGUAUGCAAUGUUGAAUAAUAAUUUAAGUGAUUUGUUACAGUAGAAUAUGAUAAGGUUUUGCAUUGGUUUAUACUAACCUAUCUCACGAGUUCUUGUUGAGUUUGUUGUGAAUGAAGCUUUUGAUAAAAAGAGAAACCAUGAUAUGAGAGGAAUUAAGGAGACACAAAAGUUCAAGCUUGGGGAUGCCCAAGGCACCACAAGAUAAUAUUUCAAGAAGUCUCAAGCAUCUAAGCUUGGGGAUGCCCCGGUAGGCAUCCCACCUUUCUUCUUCAACAACUAUCGGUUAGUAUUGGUUGAGCCUAAGUUUUUGCUUCUUCACAUGAGUUGUGCUAUCCUUGCAUUGCAGUUUUCUUUAGCUUUGCUUGCUGUUUGAAUGAAGUAUCAAGAUAUGAAAUUCUUUAAUGAGAGAGAGCCUUACAUGAAUUGGAAUUUGCUAGAAUACUCUUUGUGCUUCACUUAUAUCUUUUGAGCUUGAUAGUUUUGCUCAUAGUGCUUCACUUAUAUCUUUUGAGCGUGAUAAUUUUUGCUCUAGUGCUUCACUUAGAUCUUUUAGAGCACGGUGGUGGAUUUGUUUUAAAGAAACUUGAUCUCUCAUGCUUCACUUAGAUUAUUUUGAGAGUCGCUAAUAGCAUGGUAAUUUUCUUAAUGUUAAUAUACUUGGUGUUCAAGAUAUGUGAAACUUUCUUUUUGAGUGAAUUAAAUUAAGUUUGAUGCUUGAUAAUUGUUUUGAGAUAUGGAGGUGAUAAUAUCAAAGUCGUGCUAAUUGAAUAGUUGUGAAUUUGAGAAAUACUUGUGUUGAAGUUAGCAAGUCCCGUAGCAUGCACAUAUGGUUAAAGUUGUGUAACAAAUUUGAAACAUGAAGUGUACCUGGCUUGUGCAUCCUUAUGAGUGGCAGUCGGGGACGAGCGAUGGUCUUUUCCUAACAAUCUAUCCCCCUAGGAGCAUGCGUGUAGUACUUGAUUUUUGAAGACUCCUAAAUUUUUGCAAUAAGUAUAUGAGUUCUUUUGACUAAUGUUGAGUCCAUGGAUUAUAUGCACUUUUACCUUUCCGCCAUUGCUAGCCUCUUCGGUACCGUGCAUUGUCUUUCUCACAUUGAGAAUUGGUGCAAACUUCGCCGGUGCAUCCAAACCCCGUGAUAUGAUACACUCUUUCACACAUUAACCUCCUUAUAUCUUCCUCAAAACAGCCACCAUACCUACCUAUUAUGGCAUUUCCAUAGCCAUUCCGAGAUAUAUUGCCAUGCAACUUUCCACCGUUCCGUUCAUCAUGACAUACUUUACUUUUGUCAUAUUGCCAUUGCAUGAUCAUGUAGUUGACAUCGUAUUUGUGGCAAAGCCACCAUGCAUUAUUUUUCAUACAUGUCACUCUUGAUUCAUUGCACCAUCCCGGUACACCGCCGGAGGCAUUCAUAUAGAGUCAUAUCUUUGUUAUAGAUGUCGAGUUAUAAUAUCGAGUUGUAAGAAAAAUAAAAGUGUGAUGAUCAUCAUUAUUAGAGCAUUGCCCUAGUGAGUAAAAGGAUGAUGGAGACUAUGAUUCCCCCACAAGUCGGGAUGAGACUCCGGACGAAAAAAAAAGAGAAAGGCCAAAAAAAGAGAAGGCCCAAAAAAUGAGAGAAAAAGAGAGAAGGGGCAAUGUUACUAUCCUUUUACCACACUCGUGCUUCAAAAUAGCACCUUGUUCUUCAUGUAGUGAGUCUCAUAUAUUUGUGCUUCAAAGUAGCACCAUGUUUUUCAUAUAGUGAAUCUCAUAAAUUGUCUUGUUUAUACUAGUGGGAAUUUUUCAUUAUAGAACUUGGCUUGUAUAUUCCAAUGAUGGGCUUCCUCAAAAUGCCCUAGGUCUUCGUGAGCAAGCGAGUUGGAUGCACACCCACUAGUUUUCUUUUGUUGAGCAUUCAUAGCUCUAGUGCAUCCGUUGCAUGGCAAUCCCUACUCCUCAUGUUGACAUCAAUUGAUGGGCAUCUCCAUAGCCCGUUGAUUAUCCUCGUCAAUAUGAGACUUUCUCCUUCUUUUGUCUUCUCCACACAAUCCCCAUCAUCAUAUUCUAUUCCACCCAUAGUGCUAUAUCCAUGGCUCGCGCUCAUGUAUUGCGUGAAGGUUGAAAGAGUUUGAGAUUAUUUGAGUAUGAAACAAUUGCUUGGCUUGUCAUCGGGGGUAUAGAAGUUGGGAACAUCUUUGUGUGACGAAAAUGAAGCAUAUCCUAACUAUAUGAUUUUGUAGGGAUAAACUUUCUUUGGCCAUGUUAUUUUGAGAUGACAUACUUGUUUGAUUAGUAUGCUUGAAGUAUUAUUAUUUUCAUGUCAAUAUGAACUUUUAUCUUGAAUCUUUCGGAUCUGAAUAUUCAUGCCAUGAUUAAGAAGAUUUACAUUGAAAUUAUGCCAAAGUAUCACUCCGCAUCAAAAAUUCUUCUUUUUAUUAUUUACCUACUCGAGGACGAGUAGGAAUUAAGGUUGGGGAUGCUUGAUACGUCUCCAAUGUAUCUAUAAUUUUUUAUUGCUCCAUGCUACUUUAUCUACUGUUUUAGGCAAUAUUGGGCUUUAUUAUCCACUUUUAUAUUAUUUUUGGGACUAACCUAUUAACUGGAGGCCCAGCCCAGAUUUGUUGUUUUAUGCCUAUUUCAGUGUUUCGAGGAAAAGGAAUAUCAGACGGAGUCAAAAUGGAACGAAAUCAACUGGAGAAGUUAUUUUUGGAAGGAAACCCACCUGAUGGACUUGGACCCCACAUCAGAAGAUACGGGAGGUGCUCACGAGGGUGGGGUGCGUGCCCUCCCCCCUGGGCGCGCCCCCUGCCUCGUGGGGCCCCCAUAGCUCCAUCGACGUUCUCCCUGCACCCAUAUAUACCUAUGUACCCUAAAACUUCCAGAACAGAAGAUAGAUCGGGAGUUCCGCCGCCGCAAGCCUCUGUAGCCACCAAAAACCAAUCGGGACCCCGUUCCGGCACCCUGCUGGAGGGGGAUCCCAUCACCGGAGGCCAUCUUCAUCAUCCCGGCGCUAUCCAUGAUGAGGAGGGAGUAGUUCACCCUCAGGGCUGAGGGUGUGUACCAGUAGCUAUGUGUUUGAUCUCUCUCUCUCGUGUUCUCUCUCGUGUUCCAUCUAUGGCACGAUCUUGAUGUAUCCCGAGCUUUGCUAUUGUAGUUGGAUCUUAUGAUGUUUCUCCCCCUCUACUCUCUUGUGAUGAAUUGAGUUUCCCCUUUUGAAGUUAUCUUAUUGGAUUGAGUCUUUUAUGAACACUUGAUGUAUGUCUUGCGUGGGAUAACUGUGGUGACAAUGGGUUAUUCUAUUGAUCCACUUGAUGUAUGUUUUGGUGAUCAACUUGCGGGUUUCGUGACACUUGGGAACCCAUGAAUAGGGGUUGGCACAUGUUCUUGACUCUCCGGUAGUAGCUUUGGGGCACUCUUUGAAGUACUUUUAUGUUGGUUGGAUGAAUCUGAGAUUGUGUGAUGCAUAUCGUAUAAUCAUGCCCACGGAUACUUGAGGUGACAAUGGAGUAUCUAGGUGACAUUAGGGUUUUGGUUGAUUUGUAUCUUAAGGUGUUAUUCUAGUACGAACUCUUUUAUAGAUCGAUCCGAAAGAAUAGCUUUGUGGUGGUUUCGUACCCGACCAUAAUCUCUACGUUUGUUCUCCGCUAUUAGUGCCUUUGGAGUGACUCUUUGUUGCAUGUUGAGGGCUUGUCAUAUGUUCUAUCUAUGUUAUUAUUGUUGAGAGAACUUACACUAGUGAAAGUAUGAACCCUAGGCCUUGUUUCCUAUCAUUGCAAUACCAUUUACGCUCACUUUUACCACUUGUUACCUUGCUGUUUUUAUAUUUUCAGAUUACAAAAACCUAUAUCUACUAUCUAUUUUGCACUUGUAUCACCAUCUCUUCGCCGAACUAGUGCACCUAUACAAUUUACCAUUGUAUUGGGUGUGUUGGGGACACAAGAGACUUUUUGUUAUUUGGUUCCAGGGUUGUUUGAGAGAGACCAUAUUCAUCCUACGCCUCCUAUGGAUUGAUAAACCUUAGGUCAUCCACUUGAGGGAAAUUUGCUACUGUCCUACAACCUGUGCACUUGCAGGCCCAACAACGUCUACAAGAAGAAGGUUGUGUAGUAGACAUCAACUGACUGCUGUGGAUUCUGUUGCCCGACUGAGAAACGGCUGAGUUUUGCUCUCCUGCUGCCCGGAGCAGCGCUUGGAUCUGCAUCAAGCCUCUUCCAGCCUCUGAACGGGACAGCUAAAUAGAUUCUGCUAUACGUGCAGCAGUUGUAAGAUUCUGGAUCGGAGUGUGGUAUACAUGGGGUUCAGGUGGAAACAACUACCGUUGUCGUCGACUGGAUUCGAGGAUCAGUCGAUGGGCGCGUUCGUUGAGAGAAUGUUGGAGGUUCUCCAGACGUGUGUGCUCGGCCAAAGUGGCCAAGCGCGCAGCCUCCAAGGCCCGAGCCUCGGAAUUCUCCCCCACGAUAGGGGUCUGGAGCGCCUCCAUGUUGCUGCGGUGCAACUCUUCCCUCUACUGUGAAUUGAGAGAUUGGGGCUCGUACUCAUCAUGAUCAUACGAUGGGCCAUCAUCGUCGUUGUUGCCGCCGUUGCGGAGAAACCCGGGUGGGCUGCGACGAGAGUCGACCAUGAGAACUUCCGUCGCGGGCCACUGCUCCCGCGCUCGGAAAGAGUAUCCGCGGAGCCAGUUGACAGGUCGAAUGGUCCAUAGAGAAAUUCGCCGGGCUCAAUCACCACGACUUGAGGGGUGGCCGACUGGCAGGCCACUGCAUGCUUUACCCACCGCUGGAUCCGCGACCGACCGGAUUGCUUGCGGCGGCGGCCAGCAGAGUGAGUGGAUGAUGCAGGAGCCGACCGAUACGGGGUCGACAGCUGCCGCAGAAGGACGUCGCAGGCACUCGUGCAGAAGUGCGAUGCCCCGCGGAUCGAAAGAGUCUCGACAUCGAGGGGGGCUUCUUGAAGCCAAGCGGAGUCGCCAGGGAUGAAAACGAGUGCGCCGAGUCGGAUCUCUCGGCCCACAGCCAAGCCACCGCCGGAAACCAUGAUGAUGGAGAUCGGAAAAAUUGCAACCUCACCGGAAGUUGCCAAGACGCUUUGCCCCACGGUGGGCGCCAACUGUCGUGGUACUAAGUCUGACUGUAAGAGUAGGGUGUACGUAUAAGCAGGCAAGGUCCUUGCUACGGCGAGGUUGUACACACGAGUUUAUGAGUUCAGGCCCCUCUCGGGGGAGGUAAAAGCUCUACGUCUCGGUGCCCUGAGGCGGUCGACUGGAAUAUGGGUGUGUGUGUGUGUUACAAGGGGUGUGAACCCUUAUGCUAGAGGAGGGGGGCGGCUUAUAUAGAUGCGCCAGGACCCCAGCCAUCCCCCGUUACAGGGUUCAUGUACAUUAAGACAGGGCGUUACUGGUAACGCCAGCUAUAAAGAGCUAUUAAUGAUCUUUAAGACUACGGAGUGAACGCCUGACAGUUGCCAUCCUGAGUGACUCUAGGUCUUCUGCUCUCCGAGUGGUUUCUUGUAUGGUCAAGUGACUUCAUCUUGGUCGAAUGGAAUUGGGGUAUCCGAGUGAGGUAGUUGGUCAAGUGGAUUGCACUCCAAGGUUACUCCAGUCGGUAUCUCUUGUUACACUUUGAAUGUUCUUGAUUCUAGGGUAGUGACCUUGGGUAGGGCGUCUAGGUCAGGCCUAUGACCCUACCCUAGGUCCAUAGCAUUGUCAGUGCUAUUUCAUGGAAGUCUUGCAAGCAGACGAUCUUAACGAGAUCGACUAUGAAAGUAGAACUCACAACAUUAGACACAUCAUGCAUCGAAGGAGAAUAGCUUCGAGAGUUUUUGAUGGAUUUGCCAGUGGUUGAUAAGCCAGUUCCAGCUAUCCUUAUGAACUGUGAGAAUCAUGCAGUGAUUGUCAAGGCAAAGAGUUCAAAGGACAACAUGCAAUCCUCAAAGCAUAUAAGAAGAUUGAAAUCUACCAGGCAAUCAAGAAACUCCAGAGUAAUACGUUGGAUUAUAUCCAGACGGGUAAGAAUCUGGCAGAUCCAUUUACAAAAGGGCUAUCACGAAUUGUGAUAGAAAAUGCAUCAAGGGAGAUGGACAUGAGACCCACCUGAGUUGCCAUAGGGGUAACCCAACCCAUGUGAUCAGAGAUCCCGUGAACUGGGACUUGGAAAAAUGAUCCAGCGGUCAACUAAGGUGAGUAUCCUUACAAACCCAUUCCAUUGGAUAUGCAAUACCCUCGAUCAAUAAGGCAGGCUGACUUUUGCCUUAAUGUCUUCCAAAUCUUGUGUAAGCAAGAUGCUAUCCUACAUGACAUUCUUUGGAGGAACACACCUAUGUGAGCCCGACUGCUGGUUGCAGCCUAUGAGAUUGAGUAAUCUCUAGGAAGCUCAUGAGAAGGUCGGGAGUAUGACAAAUAAGCUCCAUCCGUGAAAUUUAGCCUUCGGCAGCCAUGUAUCAGUUGACAAUAGGCGAAACUUAUGCAUGCCAAGCUGACAAUUCAAGACAUAGUUCAUUGUUCAAUUGUGAAGAAGUCCAAUCUUGUUGCUCUAUGUGGAAGUUCAGUUUAACAGUCUCCACCAAAAAUUCUGGUAUAUCAAACAUUGUUUGGAACAGUUGACAAACUUAUGUGCAUCAAGAUCUGAUGGGGGAUUGUUGAAUCAUAGAUGCGCUUUAGGCCCAUAUGAACAAUGAUUUCUGGUUAAUCUUGAGGCCAUGUGGCAGUUGAUGGGAAGUUUAGUACCACAUUGCUAGUUGAGGAGAAUUGAAUCCCCUUUAUAAGGGUUUCUAUACCACUUGCCAUUGGGAUCUUGGAAAGAGGAGAUGUACACGCGCUCCUCCUCCAUUGCCGCCCGCCUCGACACGACGCGCGUGCGCGUGCCAUGGGUUGCGGGAAUGUGCCGAGACGUUGGACCGUGGGUUGUUUGUGUUCCCGGGAUACGCCGACUCCCUUCACGGGUGUGCGACCCUUCUCCGGGAACGACGACUCCCUUCCCGGGGUUGCGUCGACUUGGUCGUGGGUCUAAGCCCAGGCCCACGACUUCCUACCCGAUGGCCUAUAUAAGGAGGCACUGGCCUGUGGAGUGAAACCUAACUCACUCAUUCACUCCCUACAUAACCUUAGCCGCCAUAUACUUUUCCUCCCACUAUGCUGCUUCCGAUGAUCCCAUCACGACGACCGCGUGCACGGUUGGUCGGGAGAGCAGGUCAUCUGGAACCCUGUCAUUUGAGAUACUGCCUGGGAGAACGACAAAUAAGGUUUUUGGGGAGCGUCUCGACGCGACUGCUCCCGAUCCAUCCCCGUCUCAUCCGCCUUUGCUUCCACUAUUUCCUCUGCAUUGACUCCAUGGCUGACAAUGAAACUGCCAAGAAGAAGGCCUCGAACACGGCGACCUGACCAACCGGAGGGUAUGACUCAUCCAUCCCCUUUUUGCUCGUUCAUGUGCUAGUCAUAUAUGUUUUGUUCAUAAAUGUAUCGCUUCUAUGUACUGUAUGUGCUCACAUACUUAGGUGUCGGUAUGAUCCGCAUACUGUGAUUGCCAUGCUUAUUAUCUACUCGUGAGGUUGGGUCCUCCGUCCUCCUCCGUGCUUCUUCUCGGGCUCGUCUUCCUCGCAGUUCAAGCGUCGGCGUUCUCCGGCCUCUAGCCCUGGAUCUACCUUGACGGGGUUGGGGGCGGCAUCCUGCCUCCUCCUCCGCCUCCUCCACGCCAAAAUGCCAAACCCCCAAAUCCUCCUGCCUACCUCACCUGCUUUGCUUGCCAUCAACCAGGGAACUUUCAGUCCAGAUGCCUCAACCCCUCGUUUUGUCUGAUCUAUAGAUCUGAUGGUCAUCUGACUAUGGACUGCCAGAACCACACCAAGCCUCCCGCCUUUGUUCACUUUGGAACAGGCCUCCCUGGUUGCUCAUUCUUUGCGUUGGACAGUGAUUUUCCCCUAGUCGUAGCAGCCCCAUCGCUCUCAAAUGUUGCUAUUGUCUUGGUCCAGGACCAGAAAAUCUCCCCGCAUACCCUACUGGAGGGCUUGCGGAUCUGGGAUGAGGGGGCUGGGAUUGGCAAGUUCGCCAGCUCUUUGAUUAUGAGUUCACUGUGGUGUUUCCCUCCAAGGACUGUUUGAGAAUGAUCUCGUCGUGCACAAGUUUCACCCUCCCCUACAAUCAGUUGGUGGUGUUAGUAAAGGCGGCGAUGUGUGGUGCCAAAGCGGUGGGACCGCUUUCCCAAAUUUGGGUGUUGGUGGCUGGUGUCCCAGCUGGGUUGCGUUUGAUUCCAUUCAUGACGGCAUUUGGUGUCCUGAUUGACAAGCAUGCUGAGGUCGACCCGGAAUCCCUAGAGAAGAUUGGACCGGUGCAUAUCAAAGUCUGGUGUGUGGAUCCGGUCUGUGUUCGUGGCACGCUUCAUGUUUUUCCCUCCUCCGAUGGUGUUCGGUUGCGGGUUCGAGCCGAGGGUGCUGAGGUGUUCCAGGCCCCUCCUCCUCCACCUUCUCCCAGCUCUGCCAAUCCAGAUCAAGACAAGCAAGGUGAUGGUUUGAUGGGUGGGCAAAACCCUAGCGGUGGUACUGAGCCUCACUUCACUCAGUCCGAAUGGGAUGGCCUGGAUCCAGAUGUUUGCGAGCUUUUCAAGACCAAUGCUCCGGUGGGUGCAGCCCAGAGGGAUGGGUUGGAUGCUUCUGCUAAGGGAGGGAUGACCCAGGAGGCUGCAAGCCAUGGAAAAAAUGUUUCCACGGGCACCCCUAUCUCGGGGGCCUGUUCCAAUCUGCAUGCCCGUCCUCUAUCUCCUAUGUUCUCUGCGAUUGAAGACUUGCCUCCGUCGCUCCCCCCACAUCCUUCCGAACCAAGCUUGACCAAGAAGAAGAAGAAGACCUCUGUCAGAAAAUUCUCGGCCAAGAGUAGGGCCUCCUCGGGCUCAAAGCAAUCGAUGACGAGCAUAUGCCACCGUCUGGAUAAGGACCUGGGGGCUGCGUCUGCUUCCGGCCCCACCUCGGCUUCACCUGCAGCUCGCUCCCCUCUGCUCCGCUCGCCUGCAUCGACGACACGCAAGGGGCGGCGCAUUCGGGAUUCGGGCGAGCGGUGGCUCUACGGGUGGAGCGACAUGCUGCGGCCAAGGAUCUCCCCUCCCCCCCCCAAGUAUGGUGCCUCAUCCCCCUUCCUCACCUAUUCAUCUUGUUUUGCCUUCGCUUUCAGAUGAUCAUUUCUUGCAUAUCUUAUCGGAUGUGGGUGUUUCUUUUGAUCCUGGUGUUGGGUCUCCCUUGCUCAUUCUCUCCACCAUCAGGGCUAAUGAGUUGGCUCAAGCGGCCAUUGCCAAGGCCAAGGAGGCCACAACGGCUGAGGCCACCGGGGUUUUUCCUGAAUAGGCAAAUGAGGGGGUUAUGGAUGAUGGUUGUGGCUAGUCUCAUCUUCCUCCAGCUAAAAGGGGGACGAGCAAACGUUCUAAAUCAUGUGUGGCUCCUUGCAGGUCUAGUCUUCGCAUCAAAAAGUUAUCUUUCAAAUGAAAGCUCUAUUCUGGAAGAUGAGAGGUUUGGCGCUAGGGGGCGUCGAGACCAAAUUAGGGAUGUUGUCCGAGGCGAAAACAUUGACAUUUUAGGGCUUGUGGAAACUUUUAAAGAUUCUUUUUCCUCUAAUGAACUCUCUGCGAUUGUAGGCAUGGAUAGAUUCGAUUGGCACUUUCUUCCUUCCUCUAGGCACUCAGGAUGUAUUCUUAUUGGUUGCAAACGGGAUGUUUUUGAUUUUGUUGUUUUUUACCAUGGCACUUUAUGGGCAAGUAUUGUGGUACACCAUCGACAUCUUAACACCCUGUGGGAAUUUAUGGUGGUUUAUGGACCUGCAAAUCAUUCGCUUACCUCCCUGUUCCUUAACGAGUUAUCUACUAAGAUUGAGUCCGGCACGAUUCCUAUUGUUAUUGGAGGAGACUUUAACCUCCUACAUACACCCUCUGAUAAGAAUAAUUACAACUUUUCUUGGUCAAUUGAUAAUGUGUUUAACGAUUUCAUCAGUGCUUUUGCCAUUCACGAGCUUCCUAGGGUGGGAGCUCGCUUCACCUGAUCUAACCACCAUCUUAAUCCGGUCUGGUCGGUGCUGGACCGGGCCUUCAUAUGCCCUGGCUGGGAUUCUCUAUUCCCUCGAGCUUAUCUGAAAGCUAAACCCGCGGUGGGUUCUGACCAUGCGCCCCUCAUCCUUGAUUCUGGCCUCAAUCUUCCUAUGGCCUCUUCGCGCUUUCAAUUCGAUGCCUCUUGGCUUCUUGUGGAGGGAUUCAUUCCCAUGCUGGCUUCCAAGAUCUCACUCCUCCUCUUCUCCUCCCCACGUUCCUUUGGCCCCAUGGAUGAUUGGCACAAUUGCUCUUACGAGUUGAGGAAGUUUGUUAGGGGAUGGUCUCGCAAUAGGGCUGCGGAGGUACAUAGGAAGAAAAAUUCCUUAGAAAAUCAAAUCUCGGGCCUGGAUCUAACUGCUGAUUCGAUUGGCCUUUCUGACCAUGACUGGUCUAUCAGAUAUAACCUAGAAGCCGCGAUGAUGCAGUUGCACCAGCAGGCAGAAAUUUAUUGGCGUCAGCGUGGUACUCUUAGCUGGACCCUUAAAGGUGAUUCUCCUACGACCUACUUCCUUGCUAUUGCUAAUGGGAGAAGAAGAAGAAGGUGUUUCAUUGAUAGCCUCAUCAUUAAUGGUGCUAGAUCCUCGGAUCAAUCCCAGAUUAUUGCCCAUGUCGUGGAUUUCUUCUCCUCUCUCCUGGGGGCUGAACAAGAGAGUGACCUCUCUAUCUCCUCCUCUCUGUGGGAUAAUGCUAAUAGGAUUUCGGCUAAUGAGAAUGAUGCGCUAAUGAUUCCUUUGUCUGAUAAGGAUAUCUGGGAGGUCAUAAACUCUGCUAACCCAAAUGCUGCCUUUGGUCUUGAUGGGUUUUCUGUCCCCUUCUUUAAAAAGUUCUGGCCGCAGUUACGUGGGCUGGUGUGUAAAAUUAUUCUGGAUUUCUGCCUGGGCACGGUGGAUAUCUCGCGCCUGAACUAUGCUGUUAUUACUCUUAUCCCUAAAGUAAAAGAAGCAGAGCUCAUAUCCCAGUUCAGACCUAUUGCCCUUAUUAAUAAUUUUGCUAAAUUUCCGGCUAAGGGCUUUGCCACUCGCCUUACACCUACAGCUCAUAGAACUAUUAGCCCUUUUCCAAUCUGCUUUCAUUAAAGGCCAUUUUAUCCUUGAUGGGAUCAUUUAUCUCCAUGAGAUUGUGCACGAUCUUAAGAUUCGCAAAUCUAAAGUUGUAAUUCUAAAGUUAUACUUUGAGAAAGCUUACGACUCGGUUAGCUGGCCUUUUUGAGAAAGGUGCUUCUAGCAAAAGGCUUUGAUGGGGCAUAUUUCCAUAGGAUNNNNNNNNNNNNNNNNNNNNNNNNNNNNNNNNNNNNNNNNNNNNNNNNNNNNNNNNNNNNNNNNNNNNNNNNNNNNNNNNNNNNNNNNNNNNNNNNNNNNNNNNNNNNNNNNNNNNNNNNNNNNNNNNNNNNNNNNNNNNNNNNNNNNNNNNNNNNNNNNNNNNNNNNNNNNNNNNNNNNNNNNNNNNNNNNNNNNNNNNNNNNNNNNNNNNNNNNNNNNNNNNNNNNNNNNNNNNNNNNNNNNNNNNNNNNNNNNNNNNNNNNNNNNNNNNNNNNNNNNNNNNNNNNNNNNNNNNNNNCUUUGCCAAUGGUAGAGGCCUUCGGCAAGGUCACCCUGUUCAACUUUGUUGCCGAUGCUUUAUCUCGUAUUUUUGUCUAGAGCGGCCUCUCAUGGCCACAUCUCUCCUAUCAUCUCACAUCUCGUUUCGGAAGGGGCCACCCACCUUCAUUAUGGUUGACCUAAAUGACUCUUGUAUUGCCCACCUCAAGUUAAUUCUGCUUUGUUUCGAAGCCUUGUCAGGACUCAAAAUUAACUUCUCUAAAAGUGAGGUCAUUGUUACCGAUGUGGAUGACACCGAGGCCUUAAGGGUGGCCCACCUCCUCAACUGCAAGUUGGGAUCCUUCCCCUUUAAAUACUUGGGCCUACCUAUUUCCCCUGAGUUGCUUUAUGCGAAAGAAUUUGCGCCAGCUGUAGCUAAAGUGGGCAAUAGGUUCCUUCCUUGGUGAGGCAGAUAUAAUACUAAUGUUGGGAAAGUAGCAUUGAUCAACGCUUUCCUAUCCUCCUUACCAAUGUUUCUCAUGGGCUUUUAUUUGCUUUCAGCUGGCACGCAUGCAAGCUUGACAAAUAUAGAGGGGCAUUUUAUUGGAAUGCUGCAGAUAAUAAGCGGAAAUACAGAUUUGUCAGGUGGAAACUUAUGUGUAGACCUAAAAACCUUGGGGGUUGGGCAGUAUUAAUACUGCCAUUAUGAAUAAGUGUCUUCUGAUUAAGUGGUCAUGGAAAAUCAUGACAACAGGUGUGGGAUCCUUAUGGUACUCCAUCCUCAAAGCUAAGUACUUCCCUCUCUCUAGUGCUUUGUUUGCCUCUGCCCGAGGAGGAUCCCAAUUCUGGAGGGAUUUGGUUAAAGUUAGACCUCUGUUUUUGGACCAUGUUAAGUUUGUGGUUGGAGAUGGCUCCUCUAUUCGGUUUUGGCUUGAUUGGUGGUGUGGAGACUCACCUCUCUCCGUGAGCUUCCCCACUCUGUUCUCUUAUUGGCCUCACCCGAGUAUCUCUGUCACCGAGCUUUCGGCUAAUAAUUGGGACCUGUCUUUAUGUUCUUUAUCUCCCGUAGAGCUUGAAGACUGGCAAAGACUCCAUGCUCUCUUCCCUCCGCUCUCGGAGAAUGUGGACUUGGUAGUCUGGCCCCAUACCUCGUUUGGCCGCAUUUCGGUUAAGUCUUUAUAUUCUAAGCUUGUGGGUGGCACUCCCACCAAUAGAUUUUCUCAGGUCUAGCGGGCCCGCAUUCCUCCUAAAAUCAAGAUAUUCCUCUGGCAAUCUUUUAGAGGGCGUUUGCCUGCAGCAGACCAAAUUCAUAAGAGGAACGACCCUGGGUCGAGAUUAUGCGCCCUUUGUGGUGCUCUGGAGGAUACGAACCAUAUCUUUUUUUCACUGUGUUUUGGCCAAGCUGGUUUGUAGUUGUGUUAGAUCGUGGCUACAGGUCACAUGGGACCCCUCGUCUUUCUCUGAGCUCCGGGUCCUUGCCCAAUCGUUGAAUGGUGUUACUAAAAGGGUCUCUUGGGUAGGACUUGGAGCGAUUUGUUCUGCCUUGUGGACGACUAGGAACAAGUUUACCAUCGAGCAUGUUUUUCCUGCUAAGCCUGCUGACUGCUUAUUUAAAUCUUGUAUUCUCUUGCAGCAGUGGAGAUCAUUGACUAAGACGGAGGACCGUGAUGCUCUUAAUCUGAUGAUUUCUAAAGUACGGGCCUCAGCGUCUUCCCUUUCCAGACAGGAGCAUGUUGCUUAGCUAUUUUCUGCGUUGCUUCGACUAGUUGCUGGCUAGGUCGUAUCUAUCUCUCUGGCAUGCGUGCCGUGUACUAGCCUGGGAGCCAUGUACCUUAACUUCGGGUGUUCCCUCGUUUGGGGCGUACUUUUGUUUUCUUGUUUGGUUGGUUGGUUGUGAUGGUUGGAACUCUGCUUGGUGGCUUUAUCUAUAAAGUCGGGCGCAUACCUUUUCUCUAAAAAUUAUCUACUCGUGGAUUAGAUAGUCCAAAAGGUUGCUAAUAUUUCCAGCAAUAUAUUGUAGGUAACAAAAUUUGGCAAAUCUGUCGGAGAUGCUCUACCCUUGUGACGGAUUUCUGCGGUACGUCUGCAGACUGCUAUACGCAUACCAUUGAUUGGGCACGAAAAUACAAAAGAGCGCUCGUCUUCGCAUGCUCACGGUAUCUUUUGCCGUCCAUUUCCUGUAGAUCCGAUACAAUAUACAUUAGUGGGCCUGAGAUAGAUUUAAUGAUGCACUGCUCUGGCCAACACGGCAUGCGUAACAUCCUCUACGUGAUGCUGGCACACGCGGCCAGCUCCGUCUUGUGCCGGCGGCCUAUUUCAAGCGUGGUUUUGUCCUCGUCAUGUGUCGUCCCAUUAGCCUAAUUGAUAACUGAAAUGUGAUUUUUUUUUCAAUUUACAGACAUUUAUUGAAUAUGUGCACAUUUCUGGAUUUGUGAGUAUAUUUUGAAUUCUCCGCGAACAUUUAUUGAAUUCAUGAGCAACUUUUGAAUUUACGGCCAACAUCUAUUGAAUUCAUGAAUAUUUUUUGAAUUUGUGAACAUAUUUCCAAUUCUUAAACAUUUUUAACUCGUGAACAAUAUUUGAAUUCGAGAACUCUUUAUUGAAUUGUUUCUAGAAUACUUGAACAUAUUUUGAAUUCCUAAAUAUUUUUUAAUUUGCCACGAACUUGUUUUGUAUUCACAAACAUUUUUUACAUCGGACAAUAUUUGAUUUCACCAUUAACAUAUUUUGAAUACAUUUUCUGAAUCUGCGAUUUAAGAGAAAACAAGAAUGACCCCGGUCUCUGCAUCAAUUGAUGCAUACAACCAUCUGUAUUAUUAUUUAACAGUCUGAUAACAUGAAUACAUGGAUCAAUGCAAAGCCACUCAUCCGGCGAACAAAAGUCACAACAUAUACACUCUUGAUAAUGUGCCCGAAUCGCAUGAACGCGCACUAUCUAAUCCGGUAGCCUCACGCAUUUGCCCCGCAUCGGGCCGAGAGCACCACCCAGUCUGGCCGACCCGCACUGCGCACGGCAUGCGGAUGCUCUGGAUCCGCCGCCGCCAUCUUCCACCAUCCCAUCUCCAGGAGCGGUCAACGCAUUCACCUUGCUAGUCGUACUGCCGUCCAUGUCACCACGAUGCCAGAGAGCACCACUGCCUUGCGCUCGUCCAUCAAGAUGCAUGCGUCAUCAAGACUCCAUUGCACCAUGCCGCCAAGAUCUGCCGUCGUCGACGCGGUAGAUAUGAUGCCACACCAUCUCCUAAUCUAGAUCACCGCCAACGCCAACCCAACAGUGUCCACCAUCCACACAGCUCCCAAGCCGACACCUUAAAAAAUGUUGUGGUGGAGCGACGCCGAAGGCGCCGUCGUCGCCCACCGCGGUUAGGGCUUUCAUCCGAGACACAAACGACAUGGUGGAAGUAGAAGCAGAUCUGACGAGCGUCUCCAUAGACAAGAAAACAGUGCCCUAGGGUGUCAGCCGCUGCCGCGACCGAAAGGCCGACUAGGGAUUUUUGCCAAUCUGAACCCCCACCUCCAGCUUAAACCGCAUCGAGGAUCAGCAAGUAUUGUGAUCCAGAUCCACACGGAGAGGCAUACCGAGCACGAGAUGAAGGCUACUAGGCGUCCCGAUCCAGACCAGGCACCUGCGGGCGAACCCGACUGCCAGGCACCCGCAGUGUUCCGAACAGUCGGAAGGAUCGGAGGAAACGAACAGAUCCGAUCCAGGAGCUCACCCUGGAUCACCGCACCCGCUGGCCCACACGGAGCUCCUUCGAACGGCCAGACGGAUCAGGCGGAUCCAAUCCAAGCGCCCACCACCGAGCGCGACAACAAGCUCCCCGCCGACACCUUCCUUGGCUAUGUCCUAGGCUUGCCCGACGCCAGCCUCUGGCGGCGGCGAGGAAGGAAAGGGAAGCGGGGAAGGCUAAGGGGCGACGACACGAGAUCGCUCCCCACGUCGCCCUAUCGGGGCGCGCGCGCGGUGGGGGAUGGAGGGGGGAGGGCAGCUUUGCUCUCUCUUCCGAAUGUGUGAACAUUUUUUGAAUUUGCUGUGAACAAAUUUUUAAUGCGAGAACAUUUCCGAAUUUGUGAACAAUACUCAAAUUCACAAACGUUUGUUUUGAAUACUUGAAUUUUCCUGGAAACCUUGAACAUAGUUUGAUUCCGCGAACAUUGUUUUUGAAUACUUAAUUUUUUUUCUAGAAUACUUGAACACAUUAUGUAUUCGUGAACAUUUUUAAUACUUGAACAUUUUUCUAGAAUAGCUACAUAUAUUUUAAAUUUAUGAACAUUUCAUGAUUUUUUCUUUGCGGGUGAAAAAUUCUUGAAUCUGCCCCUACAUAUAUUUUUUGCGGUACGUGCAGACUGCUAUACGUAUACCAUUGAUUGGGCAGUCUUUUACAGUGGUGUGAUUAAUUAUGGAGAUGUCUCUGGUGAGGGGCAGGCAGCAGAGGAGAAACCAUUACACAAUAACUCUGCAGGUGGCUUUAAACCGCAGAUGGCUAUAUGGCUAUAGUAGUAGCUAGUUGCGCGCAUGCGGGGGGAGGAAGUGCAUAUGCAUGCAGACGAUGCAUGUAUGUGUCCGUCCACUGGGACAUUAUGGUGCAUUUGUAAGCACGCAGAAAUCGCAGACAAUGGGGUGCAGCCCAGCUAGAGAUGCUGAAAUAAAUCGAGCUAGCCAAGGAGCACGUACUCCUCCUCCUCCUUAGCUACUACGUACUACUACAGACGUCUCUUGGCGAAAUCAAUCCGGCCCUGCGUGACGCAACGAGGAGCUAAGUUGCACUUGAAUUGCAUUGCAUUGCACCGCAUGCCAUUACUGCAUGCAAUGCCCCAACUGCAUGCAUUCAUGUGGAUUUGUUACUAUCUCUACGUGCCGAAUUCAAGUCUUCAACCGAACUAGCAUACCUUCAACGACAGCAACACCAAAAAGAUCUCAAGGAAUUUUCCUUCUGCCCGAUCGAGAGGUUUUAGGAUAUCAUAGUUUUGUUCCUUAAUCUCCCUUUUGAUCAAGCCGUGCCUUGCCCUUGAGAAAGCCAUGGGUUGCUUGUGUAAGGCAGCGGAUCUAUUUCUUCCGAGACAUGCAUCCGACCUCCGUGCAGACGCACUUGAAGUGCAGCUCCCGCGCCCAGAGAUUUGCCCGUCGUGCUAUAUAAUUGUGUAAUGAUGCCCUUGUUUAUCCAGCUUUUACUUCCUUCCAGUGUGUGUGUCAGCCCCUGACCGGUACCUGUACUUUGCAGAGAUCGAUGCUGCUGUGUAUCGACAGUCCAUGCCUCACCCGACAGUCGAUCUGGGCCGUAGGUUCUCGAUCGGAUAGUGCUCACCACACCUGAAGUAUUACUCGACGAGAACAGAGAUAUGCAAAUCGUAUGCAUGCAUGGCUCAAAUACUUGGUUCGAACCCUCGCACCUGAGGAUGCAAAGCGGGGCCGGGUUUCCCGGACAAUACUCCCUCCGUUCCAUAAUGUAGUGCCUAUAGAUUUUUACAAAAGUCAAACAUUACAAACUUUGAAGAAAAGUAGGUACAUCUAGAAUACCAAAUGGACAUCACUGGAUACAUCGCGAGUUAUAUUUUGAGGAUGUAUAUGUUUGAUAUUGUAGAUGUAGAUAGUUUUCUCUAUACACUUGGUCAAAGUUGGCAAAGUUUGACUUUCACAAAAAUCUAUAGGCACUACAUUGUGGAAUGGAGGGAGUAUCACAGUAGUACUAGUACUACAAAAUUUGUGUUAACUUGGCAGCUAGUAAUUGAUGCUUUUCGCGGGAUAAGCGGGCCGCCCGCGCCCUACCUAAUUAAGCCCUUGAAUCCCUCAUAGAGAAAAACCUAACCAGAAGAAUUGUGAGAAAUAAGUUAAUUUAUCAAGUUGAGGCAUUUUGAUUUGGAUUUCAAAUAAGAAAAAAAGGAUUUUGUGAAAUUUAGGAGUCGUUCAAAAGCAUCAAGAGGGAAGAACUCGGAUAGAAAGGCAGGCGAAGUUGGUGGCCAACCUAAUUUCCCUCCGAAUCCCUCAGAGAGAAAAACCUAAUGAAGUCCUUGAAGAAAAACCAGAAAAACAUGGUGAAAACACAGUUGACUAGUACAAAUUAUUGGAGACAACCAUCGCUAGCUUAGCUGCUGCAUACCGUUAGUUAGGCCUUGCAUUUCUUCAGCAAACAGGGGAUUACAAACUUAGAAGACCACUGCUACUACAACACCAAUCGGAAACUAGCCAUAGCGCUAAUUAAACUGACCAACCCACUGCAACCCAGCAACACAAAGGAAAGUAACUACUUAAGCUAAGUAGCCUGCUACUCAGAGAUCCAACCCUGUCCAGUGGAUGAUCCGACGGCGGUCACUCACUCCUCCAGCCUCAAAAUUCGCGCAUCGCCUGAUCGAGCUAACCAUCCGUGUGAGCAUCCACUGGACGGGCACGCGCCCGCACCGUUGAUAUUUC